UAAGCUAUCGCUAAAGAAUGGGUCUGCGUCUGAUUAGCUAGUUGGUGAGAUAAAAGCUCACCAAGGCAACGAUCAGUAGCCGGUCUGAGAGGAUGAACGGCCACACUGGGACUGAGACACGGCCCAGACUCCUACGGGAGGCAGCAGUGGGGAAUCUUCCGCAAUGGACGAAAGUCUGACGGAGCAACGCCGCGUGAGUGAUGAAGGUUUUCGGAUCGUAAAACUCUGUUGUUAAGGACGAAUGUAUAGAUUGUGAAUAAUGGUUUAUAAUGACGGUACUUAACGAGGAAGCCACGGCUAACUACGUGCCAGCAGCCGCGGUAAUACGUAGGUGGCAAGCGUUGUCCGGAAUUAUUGGGCGUAAAGGGAGCGCAGGUGGGAAUGUAAGUCAAUCUUAAAAGUGCGGGGCUCAACCCCGUGAUGGGAUAGAAACUAUAUUUCUUGAGUGCAGGAGAGGAAAGUGGAAUUCCUAGUGUAGCGGUGAAAUGCGUAGAUAUUAGGAGGAACACCAGUGGCGAAGGCGACUUUCUGGACUGUUACUGACACUGAGGCUCGAAAGCUAGGGGAGCGAACGGGAUUAGAUACCCCGGUAGUCCUAGCCGUAAACGAUGGGUACUAGGUGUAGAGGGUAUCGACCCCUUCUGUGCCGGAGUUAACGCAAUAAGUACCCCGCCUGGGGAGUACGCCGCAG
RNAcentral lists this ribosomal RNA (691 nucleotides) under uncultured bacterium. RNAcentral describes it as "bacterial SSU rRNA". It matches the Rfam family "Bacterial small subunit ribosomal RNA", at positions 208 to 891 of the family's 1533-position model. The record is from RNAcentral.